UACGUAGGGUGCAAGCGUUGUCCGGAAUUAUUGGGCGUAAAGAGCUCGUAGGCGGUUUGUCGCGUCUGCUGUGAAAACUCGGGGCUUAACCCCGGGCCUGCAGUGGGUACGGGCAGACUAGAGUGCGGUAGGGGAGACUGGAAUUCCUGGUGUAGCGGUGAAAUGCGCAGAUAUCGGGAGGAACACCGAUGGCGAAGGCGGGUCUCUGGGCCGAUACUGACGCUGAGGAGCGAAAGCGUGGGGAGCGAACAGG
RNAcentral lists this ribosomal RNA (253 nucleotides) under uncultured bacterium. RNAcentral describes it as "partial 16S ribosomal RNA". It matches the Rfam family "Bacterial small subunit ribosomal RNA", at positions 524 to 776 of the family's 1533-position model. The record is from RNAcentral.